AUGAACGUUGGCGGCGUGGAUUAGGCAUGCAAGUCGCACGGGCCCGGCUUCGGCCGGGCCAGUGGCGGAAGGGUGAGUAAGGCGACGGCAACCAACCCCGAGGUCGGGUAUAGCCGCGGGAAACUGCGGGUAAUCCCCGGCGACGUGAGGGCGUCGGCAUCGACGCUUCACCAAAGGCGCAAGCCGCCUCGGGACGGGCCGUCGUGGUAUUAGGUCGUUGGCGGGGUUACGGCCCACCAAGCCUGUGAUGCCUACCGGGCGUGCGGGCGUGGCCCGGCACACUGGGACUGAGACACUGCCCAGACUCCUACGGGAGGCUGCAGUCGAGAAUCUUCGGCAAUGGGCGCAAGCCUGACCGAGCGACGCCGCGUGGAGGACGAAGGCCUUCGGGUUGUAAACUCCUGUCGAGGGGGAGGAAGGGGAAACCUUGACCGAUCCCUGGAGGAAGCACGGGCUAAGUUCGU
This 464-nucleotide ribosomal RNA is filed under the name uncultured bacterium. Its description in RNAcentral is "bacterial SSU rRNA". It matches the Rfam family "Bacterial small subunit ribosomal RNA", at positions 29 to 506 of the family's 1533-position model. The record is from RNAcentral.